RNAcentral lists this ribosomal RNA (56 nucleotides) under Perilla frutescens var. crispa. The record is from RNAcentral. Lineage: Eukaryota; Viridiplantae; Streptophyta; Magnoliopsida; Lamiales; Lamiaceae.
GGCCUGGCGAAUGUACUAGGAUGGGUGACCCCCUGGGAAGUCCUCGUGUUGCACCC